Molecule: unclassified non-coding RNA, 253 nt
Filed under: uncultured Eubacteriales bacterium
Lineage: Bacteria; Bacillati; Bacillota; Clostridia; Eubacteriales
Description: contains 16S-23S intergenic spacer region
Rfam family: Bacterial small subunit ribosomal RNA
Source: RNAcentral
UACGUAGGUGGCAAGCGUUAUCCGGAUUUAUUGGGUGUAAAGGGCGUGUAGGCGGGAGCGCAAGUCAGAUGUGAAAACUAUGGGCUUAACCCAUAGCCUGCAUUUGAAACUGUGUUUCUUGAGUGCUGGAGAGGCAAUCGGAAUUCCGUGUGUAGCGGUGGAAUGCGUAGAUAUACGGAGGAACACCAGUGGCGAAGGCGGAUUGCUGGACAGUAACUGACGCUGAGGCGCGAAAGCGUGGGGAGCAAACAGG